UGGAUUGUGAUGCAGAUAGUGAUAGUGAGGCCGAUAUCAUAUGGUUAGGAAAAUAAAGAUCGUCUGAAUUACAUGGCGAAGAUCAAUAAUUACGAAUUUGACUAUAGAUUUCUGAGCAAAGGUGUUGUGAAUGAAUUGAUUAAUUUAAUGAGACCAUAUUUGAGUGUAACGUCAAAAAGAUUCAAAUAUAGGAGAGGAAUUUAGAAAUAGAAAAAGAGUAUUUUGAAUGUGUAAUUUGUGUGCAAUGCAUCAUUGAUGUUUCAAAAUGUUGUUGCUUGAUGGCCUGGGUCUGCUCAUGAUACAACUAUAAUUAACCAUUCCGAUUGAAAAGAUGCAUUGGUGUUUGUAAAAGAAGACUCCCUGUAUAUCAUUGAAAAGUAGAUUAAAACUAGAAAAUAUGCAAGCUGUUAUUAUAGCUGCCAUGCUGCAUAAUAUCGUCAGAAGUAUGAAUUUAGAAGAAUUAGAAUCAGAAAUUUCAGUCGCAGAUACAUUACAGGAAAAUAAUAUAAUUGUUCGUAACAAUUUUUCAAAACUUACAUCUGAAAUACAACUAUGUACUUAUAAAUAAUUGCUUCCAAAGAUAAUUUAUAAAAUAAACUCCAAAGAUAA
This is a long non-coding RNA of Bombyx mori (domestic silkworm), 609 nucleotides long. RefSeq lists it as uncharacterized. The record is from RefSeq and is a predicted model, not a curated record. The transcript has 3 exons. Lineage: Eukaryota; Metazoa; Arthropoda; Insecta; Lepidoptera; Bombycidae.